This 462-nucleotide ribosomal RNA is filed under the name Triticum aestivum (bread wheat). RNAcentral describes it as "partial small subunit ribosomal RNA". The record is from RNAcentral. Lineage: Eukaryota; Viridiplantae; Streptophyta; Magnoliopsida; Poales; Poaceae.
AUGCAUCACAUCUUCUCCUUCGGGCUGGCAACUGGGAAGCAUGCCAUGGGCUCGGGUGAGCCUCUUGGUUCUCCCAUGCCAGACUUCCCUGGGACACCGGACGUCGAGGUCCUUGAUGGCCCUGACAAUCCCACUGCAAAGCCCUUCGACAAGCCAUUUGACCCCGUCCAUGAUAGGAAGAGGAAGAGAGGAGGCCUGAUGGAGGAGGAGAUCAAUGUCUUUUGCAGUAUGACCGAGGCGGUGAAGGAGGUGGCAACAACCAUCAGGGAGUGCAAGCCCCUCGACGUCCACCCUGACCUGUAUGGCGCUGUCAUGACCCAGGGUGGCUUCAGCGACGAGGCUCUCAUGGCAGCUCUCAGCCAUCUGCUUGACAACAAGGCCAAGGGUGUUGGGUUCGUUGCCAUGGCUGACGCUCACAGGGUGCUGUGGCUCAGGAGCUGGCUGGGCAAGCACUACUACUAG